Molecule: ribosomal RNA, 461 nt
Filed under: uncultured bacterium
Lineage: Bacteria
Description: partial 16S ribosomal RNA
Rfam family: Bacterial small subunit ribosomal RNA
Source: RNAcentral
CCUACGGGAGGCAGCAGUGAGGAAUAUUGGUCAAUGGGCUUACGCCUGAACCAGCCAAGUCGCGUGAGGGAAGACUGCCCUAUGGGUUGUAAACCUCUUUUGUCAGGGAGCAACGCCGGCUACGUGUAGCCGGACUGAGAGUACCUGAAGAAAAAGCAUCGGCUAACUCCGUGCCAGCAGCCGCGGUAAUACGUAGGGGGCUAGCGUUAUCCGGAUUUACUGGGUGUAAAGGGAGCGUAGACGGUUAUGCAAGUCUGAAGUGAAAGCCCAAGGCUCAACCAUGGGACUGCUUUGGAAACUGGAAAACUGGAGUGCAGGAGAGGUAAGCGGAAUUCCUAGUGUAGCGGUGAAAUGCGUAGAUAUUAGGAGGAACACCAGUGGCGAAGGCGGCUUACUGGACUGUAACUGACGUUGAGGCUCGAAGGCGUGGGGAGCAAACAGGAUUAGAUACCCCUGUAGUC